AGCGGGGUGGGCUAGCUAAGAUCGGUGUUAUUACCGAUCUCUACAAUGGUUUAGGCUGCAGGGCUCAUAACCCUGAGACCGUUGGUUCAAAUCCAUCCCCCGCUACCA
Molecule: transfer RNA, 108 nt
Filed under: Promethearchaeota archaeon
Lineage: Archaea; Promethearchaeati; Promethearchaeota
Description: Candidatus Lokiarchaeota archaeon (microbial mat metagenome) tRNA-Met
Rfam family: tRNA
About the family: Transfer RNA (tRNA) molecules are approximately 80 nucleotides in length. Their secondary structure includes four short double-helical elements and three loops (D, anti-codon, and T loops). Further hydrogen bonds mediate the characteristic L-shaped molecular structure. tRNAs have two regions of fundamental functional importance: the anti-codon, which is responsible for specific mRNA codon recognition, and the 3' end, to which the tRNAs corresponding amino acid is attached (by aminoacyl-tRNA synthetases). tRNAs cope with the degeneracy of the genetic code in two manners: having more than one tRNA (with a specific anti-codon) for a particular amino acid; and 'wobble' base-pairing, i.e. permitting non-standard base-pairing at the 3rd anti-codon position.
Source: RNAcentral